Molecule: ribosomal RNA, 403 nt
Filed under: uncultured bacterium
Lineage: Bacteria
Description: partial 16S ribosomal RNA
Rfam family: Bacterial small subunit ribosomal RNA
Source: RNAcentral
AUUGAACGCUGGCGGCAGGCCUAACACAUGCAAGUCGAGCGAGCGGCGGACGGGUGAGUAAUGUAUGGGGACUGCCCGAUAGAGGGGGAUAACUACUGGAAACGGUGGCUAAUACCGCAUACUAUCGGAUAACCCAUAUGGGAUUAGCUAGUAGGUGGGGUAAAGGCUCACCUAGGCGACGAUCUCUAGCUGGUCUGAGAGGAUGAUCAGCCAAACUGGGACUGAGACACGGCCCAGACGCCGACGGAGGGAGCAAUGGGGAAUUUUGCACAAUGGGGUGAAUGCUUAAGCCGGCAAGGCGGGGUGUUGAAGAAGGCCUUAAGGGUGUAAAAUUCCUUCAGGGGGGAGGCGUUUCCCCCCGGAGAAGCACCGGCUAACUCCGUGCCAGCAGCCGCGGUAAUUC